This 376-nucleotide long non-coding RNA is filed under the name Homo sapiens (human). Its description in RNAcentral is "long intergenic non-protein coding RNA 1579". The record is from RNAcentral. Lineage: Eukaryota; Metazoa; Chordata; Mammalia; Primates; Hominidae.
UUUAACACAAACAGGGCUGAAACACGCUCCCUUGCUUGCCACAUUGCGGGUGACGAGAAGGAGAAAAGAGCUGUGUUCCUUUGAGGAUCCCAGACCUAGGGUCUCCCUGAGCCAGGGCUGUGACACUCCCUUUGGGGUUCUAUGGUUCCUGGCAUCUUCAAGCUUCCAGGCGCCACCACCUUCGUUCCCUUCAUCCAAACAGGUGCCCACAGCAGAAUCCACAUGCCGUCCAUCUGGUCCAGCCUCACGCAGAGCCACAACUGUGCUGGCGCCUGGAGCUGCCAGCCCCACUGCAGCAGCCGGACUGACAUUCAGACGUGGAGCAAGUUGGACUGCAUAGGGACCCACCAGUGAGAUGGACGCUGUCUGUAAACGG